GAUUCCGUAGUGUAGUGGUUAUCACGUGCGCCACACACGCGCAAGGUCACCGGUUCGAGCCCGGGCGGAAUCA
RNAcentral lists this transfer RNA (73 nucleotides) under Patiria miniata (bat star). RNAcentral's name for it is "tRNA-Val". It matches the Rfam family "tRNA". From Rfam's summary of the family: Transfer RNA (tRNA) molecules are approximately 80 nucleotides in length. Their secondary structure includes four short double-helical elements and three loops (D, anti-codon, and T loops). Further hydrogen bonds mediate the characteristic L-shaped molecular structure. tRNAs have two regions of fundamental functional importance: the anti-codon, which is responsible for specific mRNA codon recognition, and the 3' end, to which the tRNAs corresponding amino acid is attached (by aminoacyl-tRNA synthetases). tRNAs cope with the degeneracy of the genetic code in two manners: having more than one tRNA (with a specific anti-codon) for a particular amino acid; and 'wobble' base-pairing, i.e. permitting non-standard base-pairing at the 3rd anti-codon position. Lineage: Eukaryota; Metazoa; Echinodermata; Asteroidea; Valvatida; Asterinidae. The record is from Rfam by way of RNAcentral.